UACGUAGGGAGCGAGCGUUGUCCGGAUUUACUGGGUGUAAAGGGUGCGUAGGCGGGCUGGCAAGUCAGAAGUGAAAUGCAGGGGCUCAACCCCUGAACUGCUUUUGAAACUGUUGGUCUUGAGUGAAGUAGAGGUAGGCGGAAUUCCCGGUGUAGCGGUGAAAUGCGUAGAGAUCGGGAGGAACACCAGUGGCGAAGGCGGCCUACUGGGCUUUAACUGACGCUGAGGCACGAAAGCGUGGGUAGCAAAC
Molecule: ribosomal RNA, 250 nt
Filed under: uncultured prokaryote
Description: partial 16S ribosomal RNA
Rfam family: Bacterial small subunit ribosomal RNA
Source: RNAcentral